This 26-nucleotide non-coding RNA is filed under the name Homo sapiens (human). Lineage: Eukaryota; Metazoa; Chordata; Mammalia; Primates; Hominidae. The record is from RNAcentral.
UGUCUGCUUUGUACUGUUUGCCCAGG